UGGAAGCAAGAACUCUGUCUAUGAUUUUGAAUUUUUUUCUCGGCAGGGUUGCUGUUGAAUCCUUAGUUGUAACAGGUUCUCCGAGCAUUUUAGAUCCUGUGGGUUCAUGAAGGUGAGCGCCCAUUGACAAAAUAAGGAAAGCAGUUGUCAAACAACCCUCGUUAAUCAGUUGCGUUCCGGAAUGUCUUAACGAAUGUACGUAUUUGCCCUGUAUAGGUUUUUGAAGAUAAAACCAUCAGCGAUCUUGUGGGUUUAUGAAUGGAAAGUUACUCAACUUUCUAAUCCCUCGUGCUUCAGGUUGAGUUGCAUCCCAUGAAAGGGUUGGAGCUAUCUGGUUCUUUCCUUGAGAGGGUUGAAGGUAUCAGGUUAAUAAUAUGGAACGAUUACUGAAUUCUGUUGCAGGCUCUUGCUAGUGGCAUCCACGGACGGACGAUUUGAAUUGAAGAAGAGUGGCUGAUAAUUUAUACUUUCGGAGAUUAUGGCCGGCAAAUAUUUUUUAGCUAAUUUAUAUAUCUAAUCAUGACUGUAGUACUCUUCCUUUAUACAACUCUGUAACUGUACUUGAUUAUGAAUGAGAGGUCUUGCUGUCAGAUAAAUGUAAACUGAAAUCAAGGAAAUGUCCAUUAUCAACACUAGUGGGAGUCAGUCAUGUAUCUCUUUCCUUUAUAGAUGCUGCUUGUGAAGCUAGCCGUUGUAUUCAGAUUCAUGAAUUUACUAUAAACACAACAAUUUG
Molecule: long non-coding RNA, 733 nt
Filed under: Triticum aestivum (bread wheat)
Lineage: Eukaryota; Viridiplantae; Streptophyta; Magnoliopsida; Poales; Poaceae
Description: long non-coding RNA (TAES_LNC011144)
Source: RNAcentral